This 1470-nucleotide ribosomal RNA is filed under the name Triticum aestivum (bread wheat). RNAcentral's name for it is "partial small subunit ribosomal RNA". Lineage: Eukaryota; Viridiplantae; Streptophyta; Magnoliopsida; Poales; Poaceae. The record is from RNAcentral.
AUCUAUCGUAUAUGUCAAUUGUACCCAAAUGCAUCGCCCAGCAUGUUGAUAUCUCGGUUUUUCAGAGUCUACGGCUAGUGGAAGUGGUCCAACCCUGUUACACUUUGCCAUAUUGAGGAGGGUCCUCUUGGCCUCCCUGUGUGGGAUCCAAGAAGAAACUUUAGAGACAGGGGCCAUCAGAUGCCUAUAAUUACACCUGCCUAUCCUUGUAUGAAUUCUAGUUAUAACGUAUCUACUAGUACUAGGUAUCUGAUGGUCCAAGAAUUCGCACGAGGAUACGAGAUCUGCCAGGCAAUAGAUGAAAAUAGAGCAACCUGGGAUGAUUUAUUCGAGCCAUAUCCAUUUUUUGAAUUAUAUAGAAAUUAUUUAGAGGUUGGUAUCACAGCGAGAAAUGAAGAUGACCUCACGAAUUGGAAAGGUUGGGUAGAGUCUCACCUUCGAACGCUUGUAUUGAAGUUUGAGCGAUAUACACAUGAGAUGCUCCUUGCACAUCCUCAUCCCCGAGAUUUCUCAGAUGGAUCCAGGCCGUUGCAUAGCUUUUACUUCAUGGGUCUUUGGAGAAAAGAAACCGCCCAACCUCAAGAACCCUAGCAAUUUGACAUCAGAGGAAUUGUAAAUGAGUUUAAGGUCGCAGUUCUUGCUUAUGUACAUAGGAGAGAAGGAAUCGAUAUUGAUGUGUCCCAUGUAAAAAGAAAAGAUAUCCCUUUGUUCGUUUUUUCUGGUGGAGUACGCCCUCGUCGUUCUUCCAGAACAGCAGCUAGGAACAGUCGCACUGUUUCUAGGAAUGAUGUUACAGUUGAUGGUCAAGUUGGAAAUCCAUUGACCGCUGAAAGUUGGAGUGAUCCUCAAUCUGUUGUAGAUCGUUCUCGUGGCUAUCAAAGUACUUCUUUGUUGGCCCCUAGUGUAUCAAGUAAAGAAACCCAAAAUAUUUUGAAUGGACAUUCAAAUCUUCACACAGAAUUUGUUGAGCAUAAACAUCCAGGGCACUUUCUUGGAGGUACAUCUUCUCCUGGGAACAUUGUCGUGUCUGAUGUAGUUACACAACCAAUCAAUAUGCCAUCUACUUCAAGCAAUGCUGGUCCAACAAAUGGGUUGGCCAUUUGUUUCAAUAGUUCACAUAAGGAAUCUGAGGGGAUUCCUUCAAAUAACCCCGUGAAUUUCUAUCCAGCUGUGGCUGAUGAGCUGGUAUCGUAUCAAGCUAAGCCUGACAAUAAACAUGUGGUUCCUCUUCAUGGAUCAUCUUUGGAGGGAUGUUCUAGAAGGAGCCCGGGCCAAACACGCAAUUUGAGUUCCCAUGGUAAUAAUCAUCUGAAGCGCAAGGCUGAGGAAGAGCUGGAGGUAUAUUUUUUUUCUUCUAAAAUUUGCAUUCAUAUUUUAGUACUCUGUUUGGCCUUGAGUACUGGUACUCUUUUUUGGUCCUUCCUUGCGAGUUGUACCCUUGCGCUGGAUACUAAUCAUUUUUCCUCUUAA